GGCAUAGAGUUCAGUGCAGGCCUUGAACUCAUGACCUUGAGUUCAAUACCUGAGCUGAGAUCAGUAGUCAGAUGCUUAACCAACUGAGCCACCUGGGAACCCCUUUUCUUAUUAAUAUAAUAUGUUGACAAAGAAAUUCUGAUUUACAUAAUUUCAUAAGUGUGGCAGUAUGCAUUUGGAUCCCUACUUUAUGAUAUACUAAGUAUACUCCAGAGGGAAAAAGAACUUAAUUGUGAAAGGCAAAAUUAUAUAAGUAUUAGAAGAACAUAUAGGAUACAACAUUUAUGUUCACAGGAUGGAGGAUUUUCUUUAAAAGGAAGAAAAAGUGUUAGCCAAAAGGAAAAGUUUAAUAAAUUUGACUAUUAAAAUUAAGAACUUCAGUCCAUUAAAAAAAGUAAACAAUAAGACAAAAGCUAGGAGAAAAUGUUGAAGACAUGUAAAUACAAAGGAAAAAAUAUCUAGGUUACAUGGGGAAAAAAGUUUGUUUGAAAUGUGAGUAAAAAGAAUUUCGCAGAAGAGAAAACACUAAUGGCCAAUAUACACAGGAAAAGAUGCCUGACUCAUUUAGCAAUUAAUGAAAUGCUAAUUAAAAUCACAGUGAGAUACCAUUUUACACAUAGUAUGUGAUCCAAACUUACAAAAUCUGGUAACAUUAAUUGUUGGCGGAGAACAAAGCAAGGGAAACACUGAAAUACUACUAGUUUCAUAAAACAUUUGUUGGAAGUAAAGGGUAUGAGAGAAAAUGAAAGACAAAAAUAUAUUAAGAAUCACAUUGAAGUUGAAGCAAAAGAGAUGGUCAUGCCUCGCAAUCACAACACUUAAAGGUUUGGAGAGAAGUAACUAUUGAGCAGAAGGAAUUGGAAGCAUUAGCAUUCUGAAGUGUUCUGAUAAGAGGUCAUAUUAGGUGGAGGAGCUGGAAUCAGAAUAUAAGGGCUUUGAACCAUUUGCACAAGACUUGGGGAGAGGGAUCAAACAGAACAAUAGAGUUGACUAAUAGGGCAUCUUCUAUGCCCUAUUCUACAUCUAUAAAGCCAUGGUAAUGAAUUAGAAAAGCAACUGCUAGAGGACAUUAUAACUUUAAUACUGAAAUUAAGAGUUCAGAUUUAUAAUUACACAUUAAAUAAAUUACACAAAAGUUUCA
Molecule: long non-coding RNA, 1141 nt
Filed under: Vulpes vulpes (red fox)
Lineage: Eukaryota; Metazoa; Chordata; Mammalia; Carnivora; Canidae
Description: lncRNA (ENSVVUG00000003151.1)
Source: RNAcentral